CUAGAGUCACAGAAUCCUAGGAAACCCCAGAUUUCGGCGCUCAUUUUUGACUUAGGGAUGAUGCUGAGACAUCAGGUACCUGAGAAUGUUCUCUACUUCAUGAAUUAUCUGGAUGUUUUCAGGAGAAGGUCCCAUACAAGAGCAACUGAAUGCAUCAACAAUACCUUUGACCAUUUCUGAUCCAAGAUCCCUGAGUCCAUUCCUGAGGAAAGGCAACGGAUAUUUGAUUGCACCAAGAGUGUUGGACUGACUGAUGUCGGGACUGUGUGAACAGAAGGAAGAUCCUCCAGAACAUUCCCACUGGCACUCUGUGGGGACCAAACUCUGUGGAAGACAACGAAAAUUUACU
This is a long non-coding RNA of Lepidothrix coronata (blue-crowned manakin), 349 nucleotides long. RefSeq lists it as uncharacterized. The transcript is spliced from 3 exons. The record is from RefSeq and is a predicted model, not a curated record. Lineage: Eukaryota; Metazoa; Chordata; Aves; Passeriformes; Pipridae.